UCCGGUUUGGCACCGGCAGUCCUCCCAGAGUCCUCGGCAUAACCCGGUAGCAACUGGGAGCGGGGGUUGCGCUCGUUGCGGGACUUAAGGCAACACCUCACGGCACGAGCUGACGACAGCCAUGCACCACCUGUGCACUGGCCCCGAAGGGCUGCCGUAUUUCUACGACAUUCCAGUGCAUGUCAAGCCCUGGUAAGGUCCUUCGCGUUGCGUCGAAUUAAGCCACAUGCUCCGCCGCUUGUGCGGGUCCCCGUCAAUUCCUUUGAGUUUUAGUCUUGCGGCCGUACUCCCCAGGCGGGGCACUUAUUGCGUUAGCGUCGGCACGGGAGGAGUCGACACCUCCCACACCUAGUGCCCAUCGUUUACGGCGUGGACUAC
RNAcentral lists this unclassified non-coding RNA (378 nucleotides) under uncultured Actinomycetes bacterium. RNAcentral's name for it is "uncultured actinobacterium contains 16S-23S intergenic spacer region". The record is from RNAcentral. Lineage: Bacteria; Bacillati; Actinomycetota; Actinomycetes.